AUACAUAGGGGGCAAGCGUUAUCCGGAAUUAUUGGGCCUAAAGCGUCCGUAGCCGGUCUGAUAAGUCUCUGGUGAAAUCCCACAGCUUAACUGUGGGAAUUGCUGGAGAUACUAUCAUGACGCGAGGUCGGGAGAGGCUGGAGGUACUCCCAGGGUAGGGGUGAAAUCCUGUAAUCCUGGGAGGACCACCUGUGGCGAAGGCGUCCAGCUGGAACGAACCUGACGGUGAGGGACGAAAGCCAGGGGCGCGAACCGGAUUAGAUACCCGGGUAGUCCUGGCCGUAAACGAUGUGGACUUGGUGUUGGGAUGGCUUCGAGCUGCCCCAGUGCCGAAGGGAAGCUGUUAAGUCCACCGCCUGGGAAGUACGGCCGCAAGGCUGAAACUUAAAGGAAUUGGCGGGG
This 402-nucleotide ribosomal RNA is filed under the name uncultured bacterium. RNAcentral describes it as "partial 16S ribosomal RNA". It matches the Rfam family "Archaeal small subunit ribosomal RNA", at positions 473 to 873 of the family's 1478-position model. The record is from RNAcentral.